CUGUCAUGGGUUUCUUAGUUGCACAUAAAAUUAAAUGAACUUGGCUUUAUAGAUGAGCCAUUAAGCAGUACAAUAUUGUGUAGUUCUUCAUCUAACCAAAGUAACUUCAUGCAGUCUAUCGACUCAUAUUUGACUAUGUAUUGCUAAGUAACAUUAUAGGUAUAUAUAGACACAUGCUAAUUAGCGUUGCUUUGGCAUGAUAAAAGCUAGAUGAGUUAUACUAAGGAGCCCAUCCUUUUAUCCCAUAAAAACACAAUGCCGAAUAAUUAUGGCUUGUUGUAAUCUUAUUCGAAGGGAGAUGUUGACGAAUCUGAUGGAGCAUGCACUACAUGAUAAUGAAAUUACUCAAAAUAUGGUAAAGGGUGCUAUGCUUGACACCAUUGGAGCCUCGGAUUAAUGGAGUACGUUUGGUAUGGCGGAUUGUUAUGGACCAGAUUAAAUCCUAGGACUGUCUUGAAUUAGCUUGGAUUGGACUAAGCUGGAUUAAGUACUGAUCUAUGUUUGGUGUUGCAUCGAACUAAGAAACUGGAUUAUAAAAAUAGUGAAGACUUAUGUUUGGUGUUGUGUCAGGCUAAUUUUUU
This 581-nucleotide long non-coding RNA is filed under the name Prunus persica (peach). RNAcentral describes it as "long non-coding RNA (PPER_LNC005152)". Lineage: Eukaryota; Viridiplantae; Streptophyta; Magnoliopsida; Rosales; Rosaceae. The record is from RNAcentral.